This is a long non-coding RNA of Melopsittacus undulatus (budgerigar), 842 nucleotides long. RefSeq lists it as uncharacterized. The record is from RefSeq and is a predicted model, not a curated record. The transcript is spliced from 4 exons. NCBI's taxonomy places the organism in Eukaryota, Metazoa, Chordata, Aves, Psittaciformes, Psittaculidae.
GUGCUUUUGCCUUUUGUGAACAGCCCGUGGAGAUUAGAGCAGCCUGAACGGUUGCAAUCAGCCCUCCAGAGACCUUUGCUCCCUUGAGCUGAGCUGUAGCCAGCAUCUGGCCUCACCGUGAUCUUGGUCUACUGAAAUGACAUUGGAGUGAAGGACUUUUUCUUCCCUCUCCCUUUUUUAAUUCUUUAUCCCCCCCUUUUUCAGCGUCUAAUGCUGCUGUGGAUUAGAGAGCCUCUGCUGUAAAGGAGAGGGGGCUCAAAUGGCAUCAGUGUUAUCAGUUCAGCUGUGAGCAGUUCUGGAAGGGAUGCUUUGCAGUGAGCCGGCCUGGAGCUAAGCAACUCUGCCAUCAUCAGGUUCAGUUCAGGAGCGCAAAACAGAGAGGAGCUGCUGGAAGGCUGCAGUGUUCCUUGCUACAGGCGCUGUGCCGGAGAGGCAUCUUCAGCUCCCUUGAGGACCCAAAGGGCCCAGAGGAGAGCUUUGGUGCCAUACCAUUGCUUGGACUACCCAAGAACAAGGAGAAAGUGGAGUAAUUUACAUGAAUAGCACACAUGAAGAAAUUGCAUCUGUGCUGGCUGAGCUCUAUAUGAGGACCAGAGGGGGAAAAGCACCUUAUUAACAAGUGAUGAAACACUGAAGUGAUGAGGCUGACGUCAAAUCCUCCCCUUGCCCUUUCUCUCAAAAAUCUCUACAAAAACGACUGACGAGAUGUCACAGUGAUAUUCCAUUGCCAGUGGCCAUGCAGCUCCACAUUACCUCUUCUGUAAGGAGGUAAGAACUGGGUAAUUUGAAGAUUAUUGAUACACGGGUAACCAAUGUACAGGGGGUAAUACAGAGAAAUUGUA